Molecule: long non-coding RNA, 539 nt
Filed under: Sorghum bicolor (sorghum)
Lineage: Eukaryota; Viridiplantae; Streptophyta; Magnoliopsida; Poales; Poaceae
Description: long non-coding RNA (SBIC_LNC008184)
Source: RNAcentral
GGGAAUUUCAAUGACCAUGAGUAUCCAGUGAAAGCUGUUUACACAUAUAUAUAUAUAUAGUCAGUCCUAUAAUGUAAAAUAAAAUAUGCAUGCACUUAGUAACUAUAUAACUCACUCGAAGUUGAAGGGGAAGAGUAUUUUUUGUUUUUCUUUUUAGUUCACAAAGAACCUCAUAAGAUUGGUGCAGACUUCUGUCUCAUGAUCUGCUGUCCACACUACCUGCGGAGCCUUGAAAACAAUAUAAGGGUCAACGAAUCCAAUACUAUUGUCAUUUCUCAUUCUGAGCUCUCUCAUUUGGUGUCUGCAUAUAUACAUACAAAUCCUAAGUGUGUAAGAAUUAUAUACAUGUAAUUAAAGAAGUUAGAAGUAUAAUAAAAAGAAUAAAAUACUUAGAGACAAAAGCAGCUGACAAGAGAUUUGUCAAGAGCGUCGAGGUGACAUAAUUGGUGCAAUUCGUCGAACUGCACAUAUAUGAGGUCAUCUCCACAGAAGUAGUGAUGCUGUCUAAUACGAACAGAAAUCCAAUUCUCUCCCCUUUU